Molecule: ribosomal RNA, 567 nt
Filed under: uncultured bacterium
Lineage: Bacteria
Description: bacterial SSU rRNA
Rfam family: Bacterial small subunit ribosomal RNA
Source: RNAcentral
GGGCGGCCGAUGCCGGAUUAGCUAGUUGGUGAGGUAACGGCUCACCAAGGCGACGAUCCGUAGCUGGUCUGAGAGGAUGAUCAGCCACACUGGGACUGAGACACGGCCCAGACUCCUACGGGAGGCAGCAGUGGGGAAUUUUGGACAAUGGGCGCAAGCCUGAUCCAGCCAUGCCGCGUGAGUGAGGAAGGCCUUCGGGUUGUAAAGCUCUUUCGGCCGGGACGAAAUCGCUCUCGCUAAUAUCGGGAGUGGAUGACGGUACCGGAAUAAGAAGCACCGGCUAACUACGUGCCAGCAGCCGCGGUAAUACGUAGGGUGCGAGCGUUAAUCGGAAUUACUGGGCGUAAAGCGUGCGCAGGCGGUUCCGCAAGUCAGAUGUGAAAUCCCCGGGCUUAACCUGGGAACUGCGUUUGAAACUACGGAGCUAGAGUAUGGCAGAGGGAGGUGGAAUUCCAAGUGUAGUAGUGAAAUGCGUAGAUAUUUGGAGGAACACCGAUGGCGAAGGCAGCCUCCUGGGCUAGUACUGACGCUCAUGCACGAAAGCGUGGGGAGCAAACAGGAUUAGAU